RNAcentral lists this long non-coding RNA (1907 nucleotides) under Limulus polyphemus (Atlantic horseshoe crab). RNAcentral's name for it is "uncharacterized LOC111084351". The record is from RNAcentral. Lineage: Eukaryota; Metazoa; Arthropoda; Merostomata; Xiphosura; Limulidae.
UGACAAAUGAUAACACUAGUCAUUCUACCAGUUGACAGAGGUGCUGACAACUGAUAACACUAGUCAUUCUACCAGUUGACAGAGGUACUGAGACAACUGAUAACACUAUCAUUCUACCAGUUGACAGAGGUACUGAGACAACUGACAAAUGAUAACACUAGUCAUUCUACCAGUUGACAGAGGUACUGAGACAGCUGACAAAUGAUAACACUAGUCAUUCUACCAGUUGACAGAGGUACUGAGACAGCUGACAAAUGAUAACAUUAUCAUUCUACCAGCUGUGAACUAGUGUAAGUUGGUAAACUGUAAUUAUUAUAAUUUUAUUAUCUAAGUCAUUACACAUCAUAAUUAGGUUUAUAAUACAUUAAUAUAAGAUUAUGUUAUUAUUAUUUUACUUGAAUUAAGUACUCAUCAUUCAGAAUAACUUGCGAACCACUCUCUAACCACUGAUAGUUUUGUCUCACAGAAAUCGUAGUUUUAACAGAAGUUAAUGUGUAGGUUUUAUUCUCAAUGUUAUUUGACAUUGUAAACAUGUUAAACUGUUCACCAUGCAUUAAGGAAAUAGACAACUCUGAUUUGUUUUGUGAUACUGCAGUCCAGAAGAAGCUGGUCGAUAUGUUGAGACGUACAAAGUGUUUGAAAAUAAAUCUGCUGAAUUCAUCAUGGAGAAGCAGGAUGAUGACUUAUAUUCUCAGGUAAACACAGAUACAACUUUCAGGAUGAUGACUUAUAUUCUCAGGUAAACAUAGAAACAACUUUCAGGAAGCUGACCUGUAUUCUAAGGUAAACACAGAUACUACUUUCAGGAAGUAGACCUAUAUUCUAAGGUAAACACAGAUACAGCUUUCACGAUGAUGACUUAUGUUCUAAGGUAAACACAGAUACAACUUUCAGGAUGAUGACUUAUGUUCUAAUGUAAACACAGAUACAACUUUCAGGAUGAUGACUGUAUUCUAAGGUAAACACAGAUACAACUUUCAGGAAGCUGACUUGUAUUCUAAGGUAAACACAGAUACAACUUUCAGGAAGUUGACCUAUAUUCUCAGGUAAACACAGAUACAACUUUCAGGAAGCUGACCUGUAUUCUAAGGUAAACAUAGAUACAACUUUCAGGAAGCUGACCUGUAUUCUAAGGUAAACACAGAUACAACUUUCAGGAAGCUGACCUGUAUUCUAAGGUAAACACAGAUACAACUUUCAGGAAGCUGACCUGUAUUCUCAGGUAAACACAGAUACAACUUUCAGGAUGAUUGAACACAUUGUGCCACAUGGUCCAAGACACGUAACGUCCAGGUAAGUAGAUAUUUAACGAGAAGAAUGAUAGGGAAGUGCAUGUUGGGAGAUAUAAAUAUAUAGUUUUUUCAUUUAAAAUGAGCUUAGCCGUUCCUUAACUAUCCAAAUAAUGUUAUAAUUUUCAUAAUGAUACUAGUAUUUUAUGCAGUGGAGUAAGAAACUUAAAACGAUUAGUACACGUGUCUGGUUUCCUCAAUAUGAUUUGUCUGUUGACCAGAUUUUUCUCUACCCCAGGAGUUUAAAACCUAUUCACAUAAAGAAUCCUUACAUAGUGGAUAAGUUCACUACCCUGAGGAUCCUAUUUGUUAAAGAAAGACUUUUUCUACAGAAAUGUGUUGAUGCAAGUUAAAAAACCUGAGAUGAUAAUAUAAUAUACUGUGAUAAAUUUUAUAGGAAAAAGUGUUAUACAAAAUGAUAAAAAAAAGAAUAUGUAUAGACAAACCUAAUAUUUGGCAAAUCCCAAAAACAAUGGUGUAAGACCCGAUUAGUGGUCAGGCUUCUGUUGUAUGAAAGUUUGAAUAUAAUAUUGUAAAAUCUUUAUUAAUGGUCAGGCUUCUAUAAAUGAAAGUUUGAGUAUAAUAUUGUAAGAUCGGAUUAGUGGUCAGGCUUCUAUA